CAUAUGAUUUAGUAUAAAUUAGAUAAAUUAGUUAGAAAAAUUUAAUGUAUCUAGAUAAAUCCUUGUUGUGCCUUAGUAAAUCAUAGAAACACAAAUGUCCACAUCAGGGCUUGGGCCUUUACGGAAGAUGCUCCGGAUCAAAACCAGAACGGUUCAGAGAUUCCCGUUCGAAUUCGGUGGUGGCGAUUUCAACAGAUCCAUGGCUGCAACUUCAGCAGCCCGACCAUACAGGGAAAGAGGAGGUGAAGCGGAACUGUACAAAGGGUUAAGCAUAUUCUGUUCCAUUGUCGUAUCAAUCCUGGGCACCUUGUUCUUUUUUUGAAUAAGAACAUGAUUUUAUUUUCAUCGUAAACAUUGGGAUCAU
This is a long non-coding RNA of Cimex lectularius (bed bug), 364 nucleotides long. RefSeq lists it as uncharacterized. The transcript is spliced from 3 exons. The record is from RefSeq and is a predicted model, not a curated record. Lineage: Eukaryota; Metazoa; Arthropoda; Insecta; Hemiptera; Cimicidae.